This is a non-coding RNA of Aedes albopictus (Asian tiger mosquito), 74 nucleotides long. The record is from Rfam. NCBI's taxonomy places the organism in Eukaryota, Metazoa, Arthropoda, Insecta, Diptera, Culicidae.
UGUUCUGUGGCUUAUUUGGCUGAAGCACCGGUCUAGCGAAUAUGAAGUCGUAGGUUCGAAUCCUACCAGAACGU